GGCUCAUUGGUCUAGUAGUAUGAUACAUGCUUCGGGUAAGUAAGUGAUCCCGGGUUCAAUUCCCGGAUGGGCCC
This 74-nucleotide transfer RNA is filed under the name Daphnia pulex (common water flea). It matches the Rfam family "tRNA". From Rfam's summary of the family: Transfer RNA (tRNA) molecules are approximately 80 nucleotides in length. Their secondary structure includes four short double-helical elements and three loops (D, anti-codon, and T loops). Further hydrogen bonds mediate the characteristic L-shaped molecular structure. tRNAs have two regions of fundamental functional importance: the anti-codon, which is responsible for specific mRNA codon recognition, and the 3' end, to which the tRNAs corresponding amino acid is attached (by aminoacyl-tRNA synthetases). tRNAs cope with the degeneracy of the genetic code in two manners: having more than one tRNA (with a specific anti-codon) for a particular amino acid; and 'wobble' base-pairing, i.e. permitting non-standard base-pairing at the 3rd anti-codon position. Lineage: Eukaryota; Metazoa; Arthropoda; Branchiopoda; Diplostraca; Daphniidae. The record is from Rfam by way of RNAcentral.